CUACGGGGGGCACCAGUGGGGAAUAUUGGACAAUGGGGGAAACCCUGAUCCAGCAAUGCCGCGUGUGUGAAGAAGGCCUGCGGGUUGUAAAGCACUUUCGGUUGGGAGGACUGCUUCUAGCACUAAUAUUGUUGGAAGUUGACGUUACCUUCAGAAGAAGCACCGGCUAACUCCGUGCCAGCAGCCGCGGUAAUACGGUGGGUGCAAGCGUUAAUCGGAAUUACUGGGCGUAAAGCGCGCGUAGGCGGCUAGAUCAGUCGGGUGUGAAAGCCCCGGGCUUAACCUGGGAACUGCAUCCGAUACUGUCUAGCUCGAGUACAGGAGAGGAGAGUGGAAUUCCACAUGUAGCGGUGAGAUGCGUAGAUAUGUGGAGGAACACCAAUGGCGAAGGCAGCUCUCUGGCCUGAUACUGACGCUGAGGUGCGAAAGCGUGGGGAGCAAACAGGAUUAGAUACCCUUGUAGUC
Molecule: ribosomal RNA, 465 nt
Filed under: uncultured bacterium
Lineage: Bacteria
Description: partial 16S ribosomal RNA
Rfam family: Bacterial small subunit ribosomal RNA
Source: RNAcentral